This 471-nucleotide ribosomal RNA is filed under the name Staphylococcus aureus. RNAcentral describes it as "partial 23S ribosomal RNA". It matches the Rfam family "Bacterial large subunit ribosomal RNA", at positions 1290 to 1757 of the family's 2925-position model. Lineage: Bacteria; Bacillati; Bacillota; Bacilli; Caryophanales; Staphylococcaceae. The record is from RNAcentral.
GAGAAUGCCGGUGUGAGUAGCGAAAGACGGGUGAGAAUCCCGUCCACCGAUUGACUAAGGUUUCCAGAGGAAGGCUCGUCCGCUCUGGGUUAGUCGGGUCCUAAGCUGAGGCCGACAGGCGUAGGCGAUGGAUAACAGGUUGAUAUUCCUGUACCACCUAUAAUCGUUUUAAUCGAUGGGGGGACGCAGUAGGAUAGGCGAAGCGUGCGAUUGGAUUGCACGUCUAAGCAGUAAGGCUGAGUAUUAGGCAAAUCCGGUACUCGUUAAGGCUGAGCUGUGAUGGGGAGAAGACAUUGUGUCUUCGAGUCGUUGAUUUCACACUGCCGAGAAAAGCCUCUAGAUAGAAAAUAGGUGCCCGUACCGCAAACCGACACAGGUAGUCAAGAUGAGAAUUCUAAGGUGAGCGAGCGAACUCUCGUUAAGGAACUCGGCAAAAUGACCCCGUAACUUCGGGAGAAGGGGUGCUCUUUA